UGGUAGUUAGCCCAGUUGGUUAGAGUUUGGUGCUGAUAACACCAAGACUGUGAGUUCAAUCCCCAUACUGUUCA
This is a non-coding RNA of Podarcis lilfordi (Lilford's wall lizard), 74 nucleotides long. The record is from the annotation of a GenBank genome assembly. NCBI's taxonomy places the organism in Eukaryota, Metazoa, Chordata, Lepidosauria, Squamata, Lacertidae.